This 748-nucleotide ribosomal RNA is filed under the name uncultured soil bacterium. RNAcentral describes it as "bacterial SSU rRNA". It matches the Rfam family "Bacterial small subunit ribosomal RNA", at positions 65 to 818 of the family's 1533-position model. The record is from RNAcentral.
AGCGGGGGUAGCAAUACCCUAGCGGCGAACGGGUGAGGAAUGCUUGGGAAUCUGCCUGGUAGUGGGGGAUAACGUUCCGAAAGGAACGCUAAUACCGCAUACGUCCUACGGGAGAAAGGGGGGGAUCUUCGGACCUCUCGCUAUCAGAUGAGCCCAAGCGGGAUUAGCUAGUUGGUGAGGUAAAGGCUCACCAAGGCGACGAUCCCUAGCUGGUCUGAGAGGAUGAUCAGCCACACUGGAACUGAGACACGGUCCAGACUCCUACGGGAGGCAGCAGUGGGGAAUAUUGGACAAUGGGCGAAAGCCUGAUCCAGCCAUGCCGCGUGUGUGAAGAAGGCCUUCGGGUUGUAAAGCACUUUAAGCGGGGAGGAAGGUUCGUUACUUAAUACGUAACGGAAUUGACGUUGCCCGCAGAAUAAGCACCGGCUAACUCUGUGCCAGCAGCCGCGGUAAUACAGAGGGUGCAAGCGUUAAUCGGAAUUACUGGGCGUAAAGCGCGCGUAGGCGGUUGUGUAAGUUGGAUGUGAAAUCCCCGGGCUUAACCUGGGCACUGCAUUCAAAACUGCACGGCUAGAGUAUGGGAGAGGAAGGUAGAAUUCCAGGUGUAGCGGUGAAAUGCGUAGAGAUCUGGAGGAAUACCGAUGGCGAAGGCAGCCUUCUGGCCUAAUACUGACGCUGAGGUGCGAAAGCAUGGGGAGCAAACAGGAUUAGAUACCCUGGUAGUCCAUGCCGUAAACGAUGUCGACUA